UGGGGAGUCGUCCAACGGCAGGACAUAUCCCUCUGGAGGAUAGUAUCUUGGUUCGAAUCCAGGCUCCCCAG
RNAcentral lists this transfer RNA (71 nucleotides) under Chloroflexota bacterium. Its description in RNAcentral is "tRNA-Gln". It matches the Rfam family "tRNA". From Rfam's summary of the family: Transfer RNA (tRNA) molecules are approximately 80 nucleotides in length. Their secondary structure includes four short double-helical elements and three loops (D, anti-codon, and T loops). Lineage: Bacteria; Bacillati; Chloroflexota. The record is from RNAcentral. RNAcentral also lists the same sequence under 2 other names.